UUUUUGUUGUUGUUUUAUGAGGGUUUAGUUUGUAAAUCCUUCAAACCAGAUAGGAUUGUUAAUAGUAAUAGAAAAUAGUAUGUGUGAGGUGUUGGAUCCGCGGGUGGAGGCGAGACGGCAUCGGCGGGUAGCAUGGCUUUGGCCAUACGGACCACAGCAGAAAGUACCAUGUUUGGGCUUCAGGUUGCCAUUGGAGACGCCGAAGUUCGAUCCUCACAACAGACACAAAACAGCUGUUAAUCAUUUCGGUUCAUUUGUACAAAUUUCACACAAAAAGCACCCCGAGGGAUGCCAGAAAGGAGUGAAGGACGGUGACACCGCAAUGGACGACGAGAGGUACUCCGAGGAUCCUUCCGACAGGAAGAAGUCCGACACGUACAUAUCUUCUUCGGAAAAAAUCAAAAAGAGGCUUGAAUCCCUAGCCAAAGAGAGAGAUUGUGCAGUUGAAAUGUGGAACCUUGCUAAGGAAGCAGCCGAUGCCAAAAGGGAGGAGGCAGUGAAAUGGGCAUCAGAAGCAGAGAAGCUGGCUUUCCGUAUGGAUGAAAUGCAGAAAGACUAUUCUGAAGCAAUCAAACUUAUGGAAAGAAAGGUCGAACUCUUGGAAUCAGAGCUGGGAAAGGCAACAACUAAGAAUGAACUGUUGGAAGCCGAACUGCAUGAUGUCAAGCGUGAUUAUAUGGAGCUAAAGAACAGCGUUGCAAGAAGUACUUCUGAAAUGGAAAGUGUCAUCAAGGAAAGAAACGAGCUGAAAGAGUCUCUGGACCAGACAAAAGAGCUCCUUUAUCAGGCAGAAAAAGUCAGCGUACAGGCUCGAGACAAAGUCACUGAUGCCCUUGCUAUGGCUCAAGAUGCUCUUGCCAAUGAAGCCAGUAUUACCGAAGAAGAAAAAGCUAGGUUGGAAGAUGCAAUGGCUGAAAUAUUGACUGCUGCAGAGCAGAAGCUCGCAAAAGAAGUGGAAAAGACAAGAAAAGAAAUGGAAGACAAAGUGAACGAGUUGCAAACACAAUUGCAUACCUUAACUAUUGAGAAAAACAGGGUUGCACUUGAGAAUGAAUCGGUUAAAUCUGAAUACAGAGUUCGUCAAAAUCAAACGAUGGACAAGACAAAAGCACUUCACCAUGAAUUAGAAGAACUGCGAGCAAAGUAUCAACCUAAGAGAAAAAAUGAUCUCCGUAAUAGGUGUUAGUUGAGUAAAAUGUUGUCCGUGUCAAGAUAAAAUGUCCCAUGUCAAGAGGAAGUAUUGGCAUUAACCAACCAUUGAAGACAGUCAGAUUUGGUACAGUGGCAUGAUGAAAGGGAUUCACUGAGACGUCAGGUUGCGGCCCUGCAGGGAGAAACGGAGUCAUUACUUGCACAACUCAGAAGGCGCCAGAUGCCAUGUCCUGACUGUAAGGAGCAAAAAAUCCAAGUAGAUCGAUAUCGGAAACUUGCUAAAAAAUGGGAAGAAACCGCUGAUAGUGUCACCCAAAAUUUUGAGAAAUACCUGAAAGAAGCUAAAUUGGCAUAUACGGCCAAAAGGCCAGUGAUUCCUGUUGGGAAAAAUUAAAAUGUGGCAAAUGGUGUUCUCUGAUGUGCCUCUUCUUCAGAUCUUUAAAAAUGUUAUUUUUUGUUGUGGUUUCAAUUCAUUAACAUAAUGGCUCUGGUUGAAAAGGGUUUGGAAAGCCAUUCAAAAUAUACUUUCUACAUUACAGUGA
This 1694-nucleotide unclassified non-coding RNA is filed under the name Cimex lectularius (bed bug). RNAcentral describes it as "plasminogen-binding group A streptococcal M-like protein PAM, transcript variant X2". The record is from RNAcentral. Lineage: Eukaryota; Metazoa; Arthropoda; Insecta; Hemiptera; Cimicidae.